GCCUGGAUAGCUCAGUUGGGAGAGUAUCAGACUUUUAAUCUGAGGGUCCAUAGUUCAAACUCAUGUUCAGGUG
This 73-nucleotide transfer RNA is filed under the name Nestor notabilis (Kea). It matches the Rfam family "tRNA". From Rfam's summary of the family: Transfer RNA (tRNA) molecules are approximately 80 nucleotides in length. The record is from Rfam by way of RNAcentral. Lineage: Eukaryota; Metazoa; Chordata; Aves; Psittaciformes; Psittacidae.